CUGGCGGCAGGCUUAACACAUGCAAGUCGAACGAUGACUAUCUAGCUUGCUAGAUAUGAUUAGUGGCGGACGGGUGAGUAACAUUUAGGAAUCUGCCUAGUAGUGGGGGAUAGCUCGGGGAAACUCGAAUUAAUACCGCAUACGACCUACGGGUGAAAGGGGGCGCAAGCUCUUGCUAUUAGAUGAGCCUAAAUCAGAUUAGCUAGUUGGUGGGGUAAAGGCCUACCAAGGCGACGAUCUGUAACUGGUCUGAGAGGAUGAUCAGUCACACCGGAACUGAGACACGGUCCGGACUCCUACGGGAGGCAGCAGUGGGGAAUAUUGGACAAUGGGGGCAACCCUGAUCCAGCCAUGCCGCGUGUGUGAAGAAGGCCUUUUGGUUGUAAAGCACUUUAAGCAGGGAGGAGAGGCUAAUGGUUAAUACCCAUUAGAUUAGACGUUACCUGCAGAAUAAGCACCGGCUAACUCUGUGCCAGCAGCCGCGGUAAUACAGAGGGUGCGAGCGUUAAUCGGAAUUACUGGGCGUAAAGCGAGUGUAGGUGGCUCAUUAAGUCACAUGUGAAAUCCCCGGGCUUAACCUGGGAACUGCAUGUGAUACUGGUGGUGCUAGAAUAUGUGAGAGGGAAGUAGAAUUCCAGGUGUAGCGGUGAAAUGCGUAGAGAUCUGGAGGAAUACCGAUGGCGAAGGCAGCUUCCUGGCAUAAUAUUGACACUGAGAUUCGAAAGCGUGGGUAGCAAACAGGAUUAGAUACCCUGGUAGUCCACGCCGUAAACGAUGUCUACUAGCCGUUGGGGUCCUUGAGACUUUAGUGGCGCAGUUAACGCGAUAAGUAGACCGCCUGGGGAGUACGGCCGCAAGGUUAAAACUCAAAUGAAUUGACGGGGGCCCGCACAAGCGGUGGAGCAUGUGGUUUAAUUCGAUGCAACGCGAAGAACCUUACCUGGUCUUGACAUAGUGAGAAUCUUUCAGAGAUGAGAGAGUGCCUUCGGGAAUUCACAUACAGGUGCUGCAUGGCUGUCGUCAGCUCGUGUCGUGAGAUGUUGGGUUAAGUCCCGCAACGAGCGCAACCCUUUUCCUUAUUUGCCAGCGGGUUAAGCCGGGAACUUUAAGGAUACUGCCAGUGACAAACUGGAGGAAGGCGGGGACGACUUCAAGUCAUCAUGGCCCUUACGACCAGGGCUACACACGUGCUACAUGGUAGGUACAGAGGGUUGCUACACAGCGAUGUGAUGCUAAUCUCAAAAAGCCUAUCGUAAUCCGGAUGGA
RNAcentral lists this ribosomal RNA (1266 nucleotides) under Faucicola osloensis. Its description in RNAcentral is "bacterial SSU rRNA". It matches the Rfam family "Bacterial small subunit ribosomal RNA", at positions 36 to 1301 of the family's 1533-position model. The record is from RNAcentral. Lineage: Bacteria; Pseudomonadati; Pseudomonadota; Gammaproteobacteria; Moraxellales; Moraxellaceae.